Molecule: ribosomal RNA, 582 nt
Filed under: Vibrio sp. AF7-03
Lineage: Bacteria; Pseudomonadati; Pseudomonadota; Gammaproteobacteria; Vibrionales; Vibrionaceae
Description: bacterial SSU rRNA
Rfam family: Bacterial small subunit ribosomal RNA
Source: RNAcentral
GCCUUAACACAUGCAAGUCGAGCGGAAACGAGUUAUCUUGAACCUUCGGGGAACGAUAACGGCGUCGAGCGGCGGACGGGUGAGUAAUGCCUAGGAAAUUGCCCUGAUGUGGGUGGAUAACCAUUSKAAACGAUGGCUAAUACCGCAUGAUGCCUACGGGCCAAAGAGGGGGACCUUCGGGCCUCUCGCGUCAGGAUAUGCCUAGGUGGGAUUAGCUAGUUGGUGAGGUAAGGGCUCACCAAGGCGACGAUCCCUAGCUGGUCUGAGAGGAUGAUCAGCCACACUGGAACUGAGACACGGUCCAGACUCCUACGGGAGGCAGCAGUGGGGAAUAUUGCACAAUGGGCGCAAGCCUGAUGCAGCCAUGCCGCGUGUGUGAAGAAGGCCUUCGGGUUGUAAAGCACUUUCAGUCGUGAGGAAGGUGGSKUCGUUAAUAGCGKNUUUGUUUGACGUUAGCGACAGAAGAAGCACCGGCUAACUCCGUGCCAGCAGCCGCGGUAAUACGGAGGGUGSUAGCGUUAAUCKGAAUUACUGGGCGUAAAGCGCAUGCAGGUGGUUUGUUAAGUCAGAUGUGAAAGCCCG